This 520-nucleotide ribosomal RNA is filed under the name uncultured Glomeromycotina. Its description in RNAcentral is "SSU rRNA". It matches the Rfam family "Eukaryotic small subunit ribosomal RNA", at positions 569 to 1092 of the family's 1831-position model. The record is from RNAcentral. Lineage: Eukaryota; Fungi; Glomeromycota.
AGCAGCCGCGGUAAUUCCAGCUCCAAUAGCGUAUAUUAAAGUUGUUGCAGUUAAAAAGCUCGUAGUUGAAUUUCGGGAUCAAGUCGUCGGUCGUGCCUUGGUACGCACUGGUGACAUUGGUUUCUCCUUCUGAAGAACCUUGAUGUCAUUAAUUUGGUGUCUUGGGGAAUCGGGACUGUUACUUUGAAAAAAUUAGAGUGUUUAAAGCAGGCUCACGCUUGAAUACAUUAGCAUGGAAUAAUGAAAUAGGACGUUUGAUUCUAUUUUGUUGGUUUCUAGGAUCGACGUAAUGAUUAAUAGGGAUAGUUGGGGGCAUUAGUAUUCAAUUGUCAGAGGUGAAAUUCUUGGAUUUAUUGAAGACUAACUACUGCGAAAGCAUUUGCCAAGGAUGUUUUCAUUAAUCAAGAACGAAAGUUAGGGGAUCGAAGACGAUCAGAUACCGUCGUAGUCUUAACCAUAAACUAUGCCGACUAGGGAUCGGAUGAUGUUAAUUUUUUAAUGACUCAUUCGGCGCCUUACG